ACUACGGGAGGCUGCAGUGAGGAAUAUUGGUCAAUGGCCGGAAGGCUGAACCAGCCAUGCCGCGUGAAGGUCAGUGCCCUAUGGGCGUUAAACUUCUUUUGUGCGGGAGCAAUAAUGGUCACGUGUGGCCAGACGAGAGUACCGUACGAAUAAGCAUCGGCUAACUCCGUGCCAGCAGCCGCGGUAAUACGGGGGAUGCAAGCGUUAUCCGGAUUUAUUGGGGUUAAAGGGUGCGUAGGCUGUGAGGUAAGUCAGCGGUGAAAUGCCCCCGCACAACGGGGUGAAGUGCCAUUGAUACUGCCUUGCUGGAAUGCGGAUGCCGUGGGAGGAAUGUGUGGUGUAGCGGUGAAAUGCAUAGAUAUCGCGCAGAACUCCGAUUGCGAAGGCAGCGUACCGGCGCCAGACUGACGCUGAGGCACGAAAGCGUGGGGAUCGAACAGGAUUAGAUACCCUUGUAGUC
RNAcentral lists this ribosomal RNA (460 nucleotides) under uncultured bacterium. Its description in RNAcentral is "partial 16S ribosomal RNA". It matches the Rfam family "Bacterial small subunit ribosomal RNA", at positions 338 to 795 of the family's 1533-position model. The record is from RNAcentral.